RNAcentral lists this ribosomal RNA (253 nucleotides) under uncultured bacterium. RNAcentral's name for it is "partial 16S ribosomal RNA". It matches the Rfam family "Bacterial small subunit ribosomal RNA", at positions 524 to 776 of the family's 1533-position model. The record is from RNAcentral.
UACAGAGGGGGCAAGCGUUAUUCGGAAUUAUUGGGCGUAAAGGGCGCGUAGGCGGCUUGGCAAGUGGAUGGUGAAAUCCCUCGGCUUAACCGAGGAACUGCCGUCCAAACUGCUUGGCUUGAGUCCGGGAGAGGUGAGUGGAAUUCCCAGUGUAGCGGUGAAAUGCGUAGAUAUUGGGAGGAACACCAGUGGCGAAGGCGGCUCGCUGGACCGGUUCUGACGCUGAGGCGCGAAAGCGUGGGGAGCAAACGGG